RNAcentral lists this ribosomal RNA (492 nucleotides) under uncultured bacterium. Its description in RNAcentral is "partial 16S ribosomal RNA". It matches the Rfam family "Bacterial small subunit ribosomal RNA", at positions 29 to 507 of the family's 1533-position model. The record is from RNAcentral.
AGUGAACGCUGGCGGUAGGCCUAACACAUGCAAGUCGAACGGCAGCACAGUAAGAGCUUGCCCUUCCGGGUGGCGAGUGGCGGACGGGUGAGGAAUACAUCUGAAUCUACUUUUUCGCGGGGGAUAACGUAGGGAAACUUACGCUAAUACCGCAUACGACCUACUGGUGAAAGCAGGGGAUCUUCGGACCUUUCGCGAUUGAAUGAGCCGAUGUCGGAUUAGCUAGUUGGCGGGGUAAAGGCCCACCAAGGCCACGAUCCGUAGCUGGUCUGAGAGGAUGAUCAGCCACACUGGAACUGAGACACGGUCCAGACUCCUACGGGAGGCAGCAGUGGGGAAUAUUGGACAAUGGGCGCAAGCCUGAUCCAGCCAUGCCGCGUGGGUGAAGAAGGCCUUCGGGUUGUAAAGCCCUUUUGUUGGGAAAGAAAAGCAGCAGGUUAAUACCCCGCUGUUCUGACGGUACCCAAAGAAUAAGCACCGGCUAACUUCGUG